RNAcentral lists this ribosomal RNA (449 nucleotides) under uncultured bacterium. Its description in RNAcentral is "bacterial SSU rRNA". It matches the Rfam family "Bacterial small subunit ribosomal RNA", at positions 328 to 793 of the family's 1533-position model. The record is from RNAcentral.
CUUCCAGACUCCUACGGGAGGCAGCAGUGGGGAAUAUUGCACAAUGGGGGAAACCCUGAUGCAGCGACGCCGCGUGAGCGAUGAAGUAUUUCGGUAUGUAAAGCUUUAUCAGCAGGGAAGAAGAUGACGGUACCUGAAGAAGAAGCCCCGGCUAACUACGUGCCAGCAGCCGCGGUAAUACGUAGGGGGCAAGCGUUAUCCGGAUUUACUGGGUGUAAAGGGGGCGCAGACGGCGAUGCAAGCCAGGAGUGAAAGCCCGGGGCCCAACCCCGGGACUGCUCUUGGAACUGCGUGGCUGGAGUGCAGGAGGGGCAGGCGGAAUUCCUGGUGUAGCGGUGAAAUGCGUAGAUAUUAGGAGGAACACCAGUGGCGAAGGCGGCCUGCUGGACGACAACUGACGGUGAGGCGCGAAAGCGUGGGGAGCAAACAGGAUUAGAUACCCGCGUAAG